Long non-coding RNA from Mercenaria mercenaria, 4983 nucleotides. RefSeq lists it as uncharacterized. The record is from RefSeq and is a predicted model, not a curated record. NCBI's taxonomy places the organism in Eukaryota, Metazoa, Mollusca, Bivalvia, Venerida, Veneridae. The transcript has 3 exons.
UUGGACUCGGUAUGGCAGACAUUGAUAGCAUUGUUUGUUGUGAUAGUGACUGCAAUAGUGAUCCUGAAAGUAUACUGAAAUCAUUAAAAGAAGGUGUACCAGCUCUGCUGAUCUUAGUGAGAAAGUUGCCGUAGUAACGUAGACCAACACAGGUAUUGGCUAUUUUGUUGCCAGAAGAAAGGCAAAAGUAAUUUUGGUAUGCUAUAACCGCAAGAAAGGUCAAGAAGAGGUAGACAAGUUCAAAUCAUCAACUAGAAACAGUGACGUUGUUGUCAAGAAACUCGAUGUUUGUUCAGUGGAUUAAGUGAGGGAGUUUGCCACAAUGAUAGAUGAGCUGAAACACAGACUGCAUAUACAUAUACUGAUGAACAUUGCAGGUGCUUACUUGUAUGAUUUCUGAAGAAGGGACUCAGGCCUCCAUCUAAUGUUCAGUGAGUGAGGACCUGGAAAGUAUGUGGAUUGCAGGGAAGCAGAUGAUCAGAGCUCUGAUGUUAGUAAAGAUACAGGCCUUGCCAAGAAAUUCUGGGAAAUCAAUGAAAAGUACACUAUGCUUGCAACGGAGAAGUAAGCUUAGAUAGAAAGGAAAAUAUUUCAGGGAUAUUUAACAAUAGUAGAUUCCCGUGUCAGAUCGUUAUCACUUACUCCAGAGAUUUUUUUUUUUAGCUUAAUUAGUCUCUCAAGUAUUGUCCACUUGAGGAGAACAAAAAAAGAAGAAAAAAUGUUUCAAUACUGUAAAUUCAUUUUUAUUUCAUAAAGAUUUUUGGUUUGGUGAUUUGAGUAGCUAAAGAUCAUUUGAUUUAGUCUCUGUCCUAAACUUGAGAAUAAUGCUUUGUUUAUAAUGUAGUUGGUUAUCUGUAAGAAGGGAAUACACACUUGAAUUUACGUGUCUGUAUUUACGUCUUAAAAAUUGCCUUCAUUAUGGGGGUUUCAGGGUCAUAGAAUUAAAUUUGGAGACUGGUCUCGAAGCAGGACAUCAACAUUGGUCAAUUUGAAAAUAGAGAUAUGAAUAAACCAGACAGAUGCUUGCAUUUUGAAACAGAACAUCACCAUUGGUCAAUUUGAAAAUAGAGUUAGAAAUCAGCCAAUCAGAUGCUUGCCUUGAAACAGGACAUCACCAUUGGUCAAUUUGAAAAUAGAGUUAGAAAUCAGCCAAUCAGAUGCUUGCAUUUUGAGACUGGUCACCUUUAAACUAUAUGUUGGUGUUAUUUGAUGGUGUUUUCAGAAAUGAUCACCUUUGAUAUGUACUUUUAUGUAAAGAAAGAGUAUUUAUGUAGUGAAUUCAUGAUUUAUUGAAGUAGCCAUGGACAGGAGACACAGCCAUAAUUGUAUCAAAAUAUAGUUGAUUUGUAUAUAGCAAAAGUGGUAAGUGCUUAUUGUUUACAUGUUUUCUACUGUGAAAUCAUUAGUUAGAUAAGUAUGAGCAUGUAUUACAGUUAAAAAGUAAAAUGUUGGGGCUGCCUUUUCGGCAUGAUAAGAACUUAGUGUUUUGUAUUGGGGAAAAAGGCAGAUAUGCACAACACUGAACAACACUAUAAAUAGUGAGUUUGUUUUGUAGAAUUGGUCUGUAGUAUACGAAUGUCUAGUGUCCCCAUAUUUUACAAUAACAAUGUUUCGAAGGAUCUGUUAGAAAAUUUCGACUGAAUGUUGAACAACAUCAAUGACAUAUCUAAAAUGUGUAUGAUUUUACUUCUUCUUGACCUAAAUACGAGAUUUUCUGUCUUCACUUUAUUGGGUUGAGAAUUGAGUGUGUUUUGCUCCAGUCCUCAGCUCAACCACCUAGUCUGGAUUUAAGAUGUUAAGUUCUGGAUCACCCUCCUGGUUCCUAGCAGUUUUAAUCAAGGUCUUCUUGACACCUUCGUUGUUCAAGUCUCAUUUCAUUAUUUAACAUAGUGUUCAAAUUGCACAGUUCCUCUGCUCCGAAGUAGCAUAGUAAACCUUUCUACGCAAAACUGUUAUUCAGAGCAUAGUGACGACGUGCAAAGCACAUGUUCUGGAUAACUCACUUCAAAGUCAAGGUCACACUUGGGGGUCAAAGGUCAUACCUUCGGGUGUAUAUUGCUCCGCUUGACUGAUUUACAGGGAGACUAGAGCUAAAAAAAGAGAGAAAAAUACGUUUGACAACUUUUCAUCAACUGCUUGAUUGAAUUUUACUUAACUUAGAAAAUACUUAGGAUGAAAUAGGACAGUGUAACAAACAAACAACACAGAAUGAAAUUAAUUCAUUAGGCCAUACCAAAUUGAUAUGUCGUUCGUCGGAACUACCGCAUCAAUAAUUUCAUUCCCGAGAAAAAAAAAAUAAAAAUCACCCGCCCGCACGUACAUAAAAAUCUCCGAAAAAAAAUUUUUUUUUUCCGAUUACGCGGUCCGGAAUAAUAACGGCAAAACAGGUUUUAUCGCUGUUUUAAUGCGUCAAAGUGAUAUUGAUCGGAUUUCAUACGUCCGUAAUACAUGUAGCUGAUGUCCCAAACUCAAAAAGUCAGGAAUUAUGAUGUUGUUCAUCAUUUGUUUUAAAUCUGGAGUGUCUGUGCUAGUGCCACACAUGGCUUUCGAUGUGCCGGUAGGUAAUGAAGUAGGCACAUUCUACUUUUGUUCAAUACAGUGAAAAGAACGAAGCCCGACUUGUAAGACGUGCACGGGGAUGCAGUUAGAAGUAUUUGGAAAUAUUGUUCAGAUAUAAAGUUUUCAAACCAUUUGUUAUCAGUUGUUUAGUUCAGCAUGUUAUAUCUAGAGCCCAAAGCUGAGGCCAACUACUAUCUUAAAAAAAUAUUUGUUCACAGAUCCUGACCGACCUAUCACAUUGUCUGGGCCCAAAUCUUUUUGAACGUAACUUUUUUAGUACAGCAGUCAGAUAUUCUAUCAAAACGCAUUUUGUCAAUUCAAAAAUUGUUUAGCUUUUCAGAUAAGUAGUGUUGAUAUGAAAAUAGUUUCUAACAAAAUCUGUCCUUUUGUAACCCCAAUUUUGCCUGUUUGUACACAUGACGCCAGGAUAUAUUAAUUGGCUGUAAAUUGAUUGAACAAAAGAAACUGAAAAAAACCAGACCUCCCCAACUCUAAAUUUCUAGUUCAGUCAAAGCACAACAAACCACUUUUAAGGGUGGCCAUAUUGGGAUCAUUCUUUGACCGUCUGUUAUCAUUUUUGCCUGAAAUGAAUCUCUACCACAAAAACUUAAGCUAGCCUGAUCUGUUAAGAAAUUAUUCCAAAGGGAUUUGAGCAAUAUCAAAGCAUCUGUCUGCCCAACUCCCUUUCGUCUCACUGGUCAAGUGGUUUAUUACUUCCCCUCACCUCUAUGGGUUGGAGUUCCACUAGGGGCACAAAUCUGUUCAUAUGUCAAAGCCAUCUAACUGUGUUUCAGAAGAAAUGUUAUUCCACACAUGUGCCUGUUUUGUCUUAAAUAUUCCUCAUCAUGUGCCGUUAAAUAGGCACGCCUUCAGAUUAAUGUAGAAAAAUCAAAAUUAAAAAUAAGACACUCAUCCCUUAGUAAUUAUAAUUACAAAAUAAAAAAAAAGUGAUUCAGUGAGUUUUGGCAAGAAUUUAUUUGCAAAAUCAUUCAUGUAGUCUUUAAAACAUAUAGAAAAGCUAUAUACUGUGAUACCCACACUGUAAAUGUUUGAUUUCUGUGUUAUUUCUAAAGAAAUGUUAACUUUAUGUAUAAUCAUAACCGCCUCCUCAAAGGUCCAAGCUUGGGAAAAAAAAUAAAAAAAGCCCGCUCGCUCCAUGUAAAAUCUACCCGCCUCUGAAAAAAUCAAAAUUGAGAAAAAAAAAUAAAAUAAAAAUUUCGCUCGCCCGCUCCUAUUUUUUUUGAAAAUUUUCCGAAGAACUAUUAAUCAAUUUGGUAUGGCCUUAAGUGUAUUAGACAAACAUUUCAAAUCUAAGUAGUCUUCUUCAGGGUGAAGAAUAUACCGGUAAAAAGAUAUAUCUACUAACAUAUCACCCCAUGUGUAUUUGUGUUUACCGUCUCUAGACCUUUGUGGUGGAUGGUUGGGUCAUGGCUAGAUUUACCUCUAAGGUGGAGAAUCAGCACUCUACCAACACAAGCAUGCUUGUUAAUUCCAGGUAUGAGCCCAAAUCAAUCGCACCCAGACCCACUUACCCAAAUCCACUGUCAUUAGCAAACUGAGCAAUCUCUGAAGAUCAUUGAAGUAACUCUGCAUGCCUCGGGUGGUAUACCACUGCAACUCUAUCCCUAUUGUCAGUGGUGAAAUGUCUAAGAGAUUCACAAUACACAGCCACCAUACUAACUAGAUGAGCCUGGUUAUUGGGAGCCACAGACUGGUUGUAAUUUAGUACUAUCAGUAGUAAAUCCAGGCCCACAACUCUUUAAGAUUUUCAUCAGAUUUUUUUCUGAUCUUUCUGCCGGUAUCAUCUAAACGGAAGUGACUGUCAAAGGCUUCCAUCAAAACAUUUAUAUUUUCUUCAUUCUCUGCUGAGGUUUCAGCAACUUGAGCUAUAACUACCUUGGUGGUGCUUAUGGUGACCUCCAAUUUAGUCCCGGCUUUGUUGGUCACAACCUCAAGCUUAGAACCAGAAACAGACUAAAAAGUCUUCCUCCAGGAACCUCAAUUAUGGAACGCCAGCAGAUCAGAUUCCGAAAGCAUACAUGACAGGCGGCAACCGAUAUCCGAUGAUCUGGAGACACCCAGGUAUUUAAUGGGUUUAAGUUAAACUCCUUGGGGCUAGGCCAACUCUGGUGCUGGCACAAAGCAAAAAAGUCUUCAUUGCUACCUGACUCUCACUGGAGAUGUGAGACUGCUGGGAAAGAAUAUUACUCUGAUCAAAGUAUUUAUAGAGUUCCCAAAUACUGCUAUCUUGACCUAGACACAGAGAUGCCAAUUUUUUAAGGCUUUCCAUUCUUUCUUGGUGGAAAUUGGGGGUUCAUUAGCUGUUCGUUUUUUUGUCAUUUAUUAUCCAUUGUAAAUUGUAACUGUACAAACAAAUUCAGUUCACAUAAAAUUUUACAUUUUAGCUAAUACAAAUAGAUGAAA